RNAcentral lists this ribosomal RNA (503 nucleotides) under uncultured bacterium. RNAcentral describes it as "partial 16S ribosomal RNA". It matches the Rfam family "Bacterial small subunit ribosomal RNA", at positions 30 to 523 of the family's 1533-position model. The record is from RNAcentral.
AUUGAACGCUGGCGGCAGGCUUAACACAUGCAAGUCGAGCGGGGUGAUGGUGCUUGCACUAUCACUUAGCGGCGGACGGGUGAGUAAUGCUUAGGAAUCUGCCUAUUAGUGGGGGACAACAUCUCGAAAGGGAUGCUAAUACCGCAUACGUCCUACGGGAGAAAGCAGGGGAUCACUUGUGACCUUGCGCUAAUAGAUGAGCCUAAGUCGGAUUAGCUAGUUGGUGGGGUAAAGGCCUACCAAGGCGACGAUCUGUAGCGGGUCUGAGAGGAUGAUCCGCCACACUGGGACUGAGAGACGGCCCAGACUCCUACGGGAGGCAGCAGUGGGGAAUAUUGGACAAUGGGGGGAACCCUGAUCCAGCCAUGCCGAGUGUGUGAAGAAGGCCUUAUGGUUGUAAAGCACUUUAAGCGAGGAAGAGGCUCUUUUGGUUAAUACCCAAGAUGAGUGGACGUUACUCGCAGAAUAAGCACCGGCUAACUCUGUGCCAGCCGCCGCGGUAA